AGAGUUUGAUCCUGGCUCAGAGCGAACGCUGGCGGCAGGCUUAACACAUGCAAGUCGAGCGGAUGUAGCAAUACAUCAGCGGCAGACGGGUGAGUAACACGUGGGAACGUACCUUUUGGUUCGGAACAACACAGGGAAACUUGUGCUAAUACCGGAUAAGCCCUUACGGGGAAAGAUUUAUCGCCGAAAGAUCGGCCCGCGUCUGAUUAGCUAGUUGGUGAGGUAACGGCUCACCAAGGCGACGAUCAGUAGCUGGUCUGAGAGGAUGAUCAGCCACAUUGGGACUGAGACACGGCCCAAACUCCUACGGGAGGCAGCAGUGGGGAAUAUUGGACAAUGGGCGCAAGCCUGAUCCAGCCAUGCCGCGUGAGUGAUGAAGGCCCUAGGGUUGUAAA
This 395-nucleotide ribosomal RNA is filed under the name uncultured bacterium. Its description in RNAcentral is "bacterial SSU rRNA". It matches the Rfam family "Bacterial small subunit ribosomal RNA", at positions 8 to 429 of the family's 1533-position model. The record is from RNAcentral.